RNAcentral lists this long non-coding RNA (812 nucleotides) under Homo sapiens (human). RNAcentral describes it as "HSALNT0298351". The record is from RNAcentral. Lineage: Eukaryota; Metazoa; Chordata; Mammalia; Primates; Hominidae.
AGCGAGGAACACAAGCCAGCUAGCAAACACUGGGGGAGCUUGGAAGUGGGUUCUCCGGGCCCAAGUAAGUCCGCAGCCCUGUCCAAGAAUUUGACCAAGACCUCAUGAGAGACCUUGAGCCAUAAUCACCCACUAGGCCUCUCUCAGAUUUCUGGCCCUAAGAAACCAUGUGAAAUUAUAAAUUUUGUUGUCUCAAACUUCUUAUCUGGGGUCCUUUGUUGUCCAGCAACAGACAGCUAAUAUAAGAAGAAAAGCAAGACAUGAAGUGGAGGAGAACAAAGACAGUCUGAAACCCUUAAGGAUAAGCUGGAACCAAAGGACAGACUGGAACUUGCAUGGGUCUUACGCUCCUUCUAAGCCUUCAUCUUUGAUGAUGCAUGAUCUGCAGGAGAAACUGGGACCUUUCAUCACAAAGCUAAACAAGCACAUGACUCAGUUGCUGGAGAGGCUGAAGGAAGAUUCAGCAGGAGCUAGAGUGGCUACAGGCCUGGCUGCCACACUGUGCCAUCAAGUUUGACCCAGGAGCAGAAACUAGCCAAUCUAUCAAUCUAUCAAUACCGCUCUGAAGCUACAGUCUCCAACAGGUGGACCAGGUAACUGCUGCUUGUGGUGUGAUGUGUUUACUUAUCUUCUUUGAAUUACCUAAGUGAAGCCAACUGUGGAUCAUGGCACUUAAUUGGUCACAGAGAAAUAGAAGGAUAGAAAAAUUUCUUACCUCAAUUUGCCAAGAGAAACCUGAAACCAGCCAUUUGGAAUUUACCAUCUAUUUCUCUAGGUUUUCCUGGAGAUUAAAGAGAUAGAGUGAAUUUCAG